GAUCUUGAUGUACCCUAUCUAAUUCUUAUCACUUAUUCAAAAUAUAUUAUCUCAUCAAAAUGUAAUUAUCUUUAUAAAAAAAAUUUUAUAUAUUUUAAAAUCUUAAAUAAAGCCUUUUAGAAAAUAGAAACCUUUUACAGUCUUUAUAAAAAAAUAAAAAUAAAAUUUUAAUUUGUCAUUAGGUUUUCUUCACACUAAAAUCUUUUUCAUUUGUGUUGUAGACAAAAUUUAUAAAAACAUAAUGACAAAUGGGAGAUCUUCAAAUAUAACUAAUUUGAAGGAUUUAUACAUAUGUACUCCUACUUUACAUCAAUUUAAGAUCAAAAAAUAUGUUUUUGUAAGCUGACGAGGGUUUGUCUAAUGCUAUCAUGGAUGGUUGUUUUGGUUCCGGCCCCAUAAACGACAAUGACAGUGAUAACGACAACAACCAUGCAACAAAACCAAGCUCCGAUGUCAGCAUUGCACAAGCUUGGGCAUAGGCGC
This 483-nucleotide long non-coding RNA is filed under the name Capsella rubella. RNAcentral describes it as "long non-coding RNA (CRUB_LNC002492)". The record is from RNAcentral. Lineage: Eukaryota; Viridiplantae; Streptophyta; Magnoliopsida; Brassicales; Brassicaceae.